CGGUUAAGUUAGAAAGGGCGCACGGUGGAUGCCUUGGCACUAGGAGCCGAUGAAGGACGGGACGAACACCGAUAUGCUUCGGGGAGCUGUAAGCAAGCUUUGAUCCGGAGAUUUCCGAAUGGGGAAACCCACCACUCGUAAUGGAGUGGUAUCCAUAUCUGAAUACAUAGGAUAUGAGAAGGCAGACCCGGGGAACUGAAACAUCUAAGUACCCGGAGGAAGAGAAAGCAAAUGCGAUUCCCUGAGUAGCGGCGAGCGAAACGGGAACAGCCCAAACCAAGAGGCUUGCCUCUUGGGGUUGUAGGACACUCUGUACGGAGUUACAAAGGAACGAGGUAGAUGAAGAGGUCUGGAAAGGCCCGCCAUAGGAGGUAACAGCCCUGUAGUCAAAACUUCGUUCUCUCCUGAGUGGAUCCUGAGUACGGCGGAACACGUGAAAUUCCGUCGGAAUCCGGGAGGACCAUCUCCCAAGGCUAAAUACUCCCUAGUGACCGAUAGUGAACCAGUACCGUGAGGGAAAGGUGAAAAGCACCCCGGAAGGGGAGUGAAAGAGAUCCUGAAACCGUGUGCCUACAAGUAGUCAGAGCCCGUUAACGGGUGAUGGCGUGCCUUUUGUAGAAUGAACCGGCGAGUUACGAUCCCGUGCAAGGUUAAGCAGAAGAUGCGGAGCCGCAGCGAAAGCGAGUCUGAAUAGGGCGAAUUGAGUACGUGGUCGUAGACCCGAAACCAGGUGAUCUACCCAUGUCCAGGGUGAAGUUCAGGUAACACUGAAUGGAGGCCCGAACCCACGCACGUUGAAAAGUGCGGGGAUGAGGUGUGGGUAGGGGUGAAAUGCCAAUCGAACCUGGAGAUAGCUGGUUCUCUCCGAAAUAGCUUUAGGGCUAGCCUCAAGGUAAGAGUCUCGGAGGUAGAGCACUGAUUGGACUAGGGGCCCCUACCGGGUUACCGAAUUCAGUCAAACUCCGAAUGCCGAUGACUUAUCCUUGGGAGUCAGACUGCGAGUGAUAAGAUCCGUAGUCGAAAGGGAAACAGCCCAGACCGCCAGCUAAGGUCCCAAAGUAUACGUUAAGUGGAAAAGGAUGUGGAGUUGCUUAGACAACCAGGAUGUUGGCUUAGAAGCAGCCACCAUUUAAAGAGUGCGUAAUAGCUCACUGGUCGAGUGACUCUGCGCCGAAAAUGUACCGGGGCUAAACGUAUCACCGAAGCUGCGGACUGUUCUUCGAACAGUGGUAGGAGAGCGUUCUAAGGGCUGUGAAGCAAGACCGGAAGGACUUGUGGAGCGCUUAGAAGUGAGAAUGCCGGUAUGAGUAGCGAAAGAGGGGUGAGAAUCCCCUCCACCGAAUGCCUAAGGUUUCCUGAGGAAGGCUCGUCCGCUCAGGGUUAGUCGGGACCUAAGCCGAGGCCGAAAGGCGUAGGCGAUGGAUAACAGGUUGAUAUUCCUGUACCACCUCCUCACCAUUUGAGCAAUGGGGGGACGCAGGAGGAUAGGGUAAGCGCGGUAUUGGAUAUCCGCGUCCAAGCAGUUAGGCUGGGAAAUAGGCAAAUCCGUUUCCCGUGAAGGCUGAGCUGUGAUGGCGAGCGAAUUAUAGUAGCGAAGUUCCUGAUUCCACACUGCCAAGAAAAGCCUCUAGCGAGGUGAGAGGUGCCCGUACCGCAAACCGACACAGGUAGGCGAGGAGAGAAUCCUAAGGUGAUCGAGAGAACUCUCGUUAAGGAACUCGGCAAAAUGACCCCGUAACUUCGGGAGAAGGGGUGCUCUGUUAGGGUGCAAGCCCGAGAGAGCCGCAGUGAAUAGGCCCAGGCGACUGUUUAGCAAAAACACAGGUCUCUGCGAAGCCGUAAGGCGAAGUAUAGGGGCUGACGCCUGCCCGGUGCUGGAAGGUUAAGAGGAGCGCUUAGCGUAAGCGAAGGUGCGAAUUGAAGCCCCAGUAAACGGCGGCCGUAACUAUAACGGUCCUAAGGUAGCGAAAUUCCUUGUCGGGUAAGUUCCGACCCGCACGAAAGGCGCAACGAUCUGGGCACUGUCUCAACGAGAGACUCGGUGAAAUUAUAGUACCUGUGAAGAUGCAGGUUACCCGCGACAGGACGGAAAGACCCCGUGGAGCUUUACUGCAGCCUGAUAUUGAAUGUUGGUACAGCUUGUACAGGAUAGGUAGGAGCCUUGGAAACCGGAGCGCCAGCUUCGGUGGAGGCAUCGGUGGGAUACUACCCUGGCUGUAUUGACCUUCUAACCCGCCGCCCUUAUCGGGCGGGGAGACAGUGUCAGGUGGGCAGUUUGACUGGGGCGGUCGCCUCCUAAAAGGUAACGGAGGCGCCCAAAGGUUCCCUCAGAAUGGUUGGAAAUCAUUCGCAGAGUGUAAAGGCACAAGGGAGCUUGACUGCGAGACCUACAAGUCGAGCAGGGACGAAAGUCGGGCUUAGUGAUCCGGUGGUUCCGCAUGGAAGGGCCAUCGCUCAACGGAUAAAAGCUACCCCGGGGAUAACAGGCUUAUCUCCCCAAGAGUCCACAUCGACGGGGAGGUUUGGCACCUCGAUGUCGGCUCAUCGCAUCCUGGGGCUGUAGUCGGUCCCAAGGGUUGGGCUGUUCGCCCAUUAAAGCGGUACGCGAGCUGGGUUCAGAACGUCGUGAGACAGUUCGGUCCCUAUCCGUCGCGGGCGCAGGAAAUUUGAGAGGAGCUGUCCUUAGUACGAGAGGACCGGGAUGGACGCACCGCUGGUGUACCAGUUGUUCUGCCAAGGGCAUCGCUGGGUAGCUAUGUGCGGACGGGAUAAGUGCUGAAAGCAUCUAAGCAUGAAGCCCCCCUCAAGAUGAGAUUUCCCAUUCCGCAAGGAAGUAAGAUCCCUGAAAGAUGAUCAGGUUGAUAGGUCUGAGGUGGAAGUGUGGCGACACAUGGAGCUGACAGAUACUAAUCGAUCGAGGACUUAACCAAUUU
RNAcentral lists this ribosomal RNA (2933 nucleotides) under Bacillus velezensis. RNAcentral describes it as "23S ribosomal RNA". It matches the Rfam family "Bacterial large subunit ribosomal RNA". The record is from RNAcentral. Lineage: Bacteria; Bacillati; Bacillota; Bacilli; Caryophanales; Bacillaceae.